Molecule: ribosomal RNA, 484 nt
Filed under: uncultured bacterium
Lineage: Bacteria
Description: partial 16S ribosomal RNA
Rfam family: Bacterial small subunit ribosomal RNA
Source: RNAcentral
AUUGAACGCUGGCGGAAUGCUUUACACAUGCAAGUCGAGCGGCAGCACGGGGGCAACCCUGGUGGCGAGCGGCGAACGGGUGAGUAAUACAUCGGAACAUGCCCAGUCGUGGGGGAUAACACUUCGAAAGAAGUGCUAAUACCGCAUACGUCCUGAGGGAGAAAGCGGGGGAUCGCAAGACCUCGCGCGAUUGGAGUGGCCGAUGUCAGAUUAGCUAGUUGGUGGGGUAAAGGCCUACCAAGGCAACGAUCUGUAGCUGGUCUGAGAGGAUGAUCAGCCACACUGGGACUGAGACACGGCCCAGACUCCUACGGGAGGCAGCAGUGGGGAAUUUUGGACAAUGGGGGCAACCCUGAUCCAGCCAUUCCGCGUGAGUGAAGAAGGCCUUCGGGUUGUAAAGCUCUUUCGGCAGGAACGAAACGGCGAGCUCUAACAUAGCUUGCUAAUGACGGUACCUGAAGAAGAAGCACCGGCUGACUACGUG